This 66-nucleotide transfer RNA is filed under the name Asparagus officinalis (garden asparagus). RNAcentral's name for it is "tRNA A4U43_Asp239". The record is from RNAcentral. Lineage: Eukaryota; Viridiplantae; Streptophyta; Magnoliopsida; Asparagales; Asparagaceae.
GUUAUAGUAUAGUGGUGAGUAUUCCCGCCUAUCACACGGGUGACCCGGGUUCGAUCCCCGAAAACG